AGAAUCCUGCUGGAGAAGCAGGGCACGUGCAUGGCACAUGCCAUAUAUACACAAACACAUGAUACACACACCCUCCACUGCACGUGCUCCCUUUCUCCAACAUGCCUCU
This 109-nucleotide microRNA precursor is filed under the name Cucumis sativus (cucumber). Its description in RNAcentral is "pre miRNA MIR164". It matches the Rfam family "MIR164 microRNA precursor family". Lineage: Eukaryota; Viridiplantae; Streptophyta; Magnoliopsida; Cucurbitales; Cucurbitaceae. The record is from RNAcentral.